GAUAGAUAGCUCAAUGGUAGAGCCACGAAAUUUGUAAUUCGUUUGUUGCGGGUUCGAUUCCCGCUCUAAUCACCA
Molecule: transfer RNA, 75 nt
Filed under: Pseudoalteromonas luteoviolacea
Lineage: Bacteria; Pseudomonadati; Pseudomonadota; Gammaproteobacteria; Alteromonadales; Pseudoalteromonadaceae
Also listed under: 3 other names
Description: tRNA-Thr
Rfam family: tRNA
About the family: Transfer RNA (tRNA) molecules are approximately 80 nucleotides in length. Their secondary structure includes four short double-helical elements and three loops (D, anti-codon, and T loops).
Source: RNAcentral